RNAcentral lists this ribosomal RNA (104 nucleotides) under Acinetobacter baumannii. Its description in RNAcentral is "partial 16S ribosomal RNA". It matches the Rfam family "Bacterial small subunit ribosomal RNA", at positions 1 to 101 of the family's 1533-position model. The record is from RNAcentral. Lineage: Bacteria; Pseudomonadati; Pseudomonadota; Gammaproteobacteria; Moraxellales; Moraxellaceae.
UUUAACUGAAGAGUUUGAUCAUGGCUCAGAUUGAACGCUGGCGGCAGGCUUAACACAUGCAAGUCGAGCGGGGGAAGGUAGCUUGCUACCGGACCUAGCGGCGG